GACGAACGCUGGCGGCGUGCUUAACACAUGCAAGUCGAACGGAAAGGCCCUGCUUUUGUGGGGUGCUCGAGUGGCGAACGGGUGAGUAACACGUGAGUAACCUGCCCUUGACUUUGGGAUAACUUCAGGAAACUGGGGCUAAUACCGGAUAGGCGCUCCUGCUGCAUGGUGGGGGUUGGUAAGUUUCGGCGGUUGGGGAUGGACUCGCGGCUUAUCAGCUUGUUGGUGGGGUAGUGGCUUACCAAGGAUUUGACGGGUAGCCGGCAUGAGAGGGUUACCGGCAACAGUGGGACUGAGAUACGGCGCAGACUGAUACGGGAGGAAGCAGUGGGGAAUAUUGCACAAUGGGCGGAAGCCUGAUGCAGGAACGCUGCGAGCGGGAUGACGGCCUUCGGGUUGUAAACCGCUUUAGCCUGUGACGAAGCGUGAGUGACGGUAAUGGGUAAAGAAGCACCGGCUAACUACGUG
This 468-nucleotide ribosomal RNA is filed under the name uncultured bacterium. Its description in RNAcentral is "partial 16S ribosomal RNA". It matches the Rfam family "Bacterial small subunit ribosomal RNA", at positions 28 to 507 of the family's 1533-position model. The record is from RNAcentral.